GAUGAACGCUAGCGGCAGGCUUAACACAUGCAAGUCGAGGGGCAGCGGGGAGGAAGCUUGCUUUCUCCGCCGGCGACCGGCGCACGGGUGAGUAACACGUAUGCAACCUGCCCCUGUCAGGGGGACAACCCGCCGAAAGGCGGGCUAAACCCGCGUACAUGCCACCGGGGCAUCCCGGAGGCAGGAAAGGCUUCGGCCGGACAGGGAUGGGCAUGCGGCGCAUUAGGCAGUAGGCGGGGUAACGGCCCACCUAACCGACGAUGCGUAGGGGUUCUGAGAGGAAGGUCCCCCACACUGGUACUGAGACACGGACCAGACUCCUACGGGAGGCAGCAGAGAGGAAUAUUGGUCAAUGGUCGGGAGACUGAACCAGCCAAGCCGCGUGAGGGAGGAAGGUACAGAGUAUCGUAAACCUCUUUUGUCAGGGAACAAAGGCGGGGACGUGUCCCCGGAUGAGUGUACCUGAAGAAAAAGCAUCGGCUAACUCCGUGCCAGCAGCCGCGGUAAUACGGAGGAUGCGAGCGUUAUCCGGAUUUAUUGGGUUUAAAGGGUGCGCAGGCGGUCUGUUAAGUCAGCGGUCAAAGCCCGGGGCUCAACCCCGGCCCGCCGUUGAAACUGGCAGUCUCGAGUUGGAGAGAAGUAUGCGGAAUGCGCGGUGUAGCGGUGAAAUGCAUAGAUAUCGCGCAGAACUCCGAUUGCGAAGGCAGCAUGCCGGCUCCACACUGACGCUGAGGCACGAAAGCGUGGGUAUCGAACAGGAUUAGAUACCCUGGUAGUCCACGCAGUAAACGAUGAAUGCUGGCUGUCCGGGGGGAUUGACCCCUGGGUGGCGAAGCGAAAGCGAUAAGCAUUCCACCUGGGGAGUACGCCGGCAACGGUGAAACUCAAAGGAAUUGACGGGGGCCCGCACAAGCGGAGGAACAUGUGGUUUAAUUCGAUGAUACGCGAGGAACCUUACCCGGGCUCAAACGGGGAGUGACUCAGGCAGAGACGCCUGUUUCCCACGGGACACUCCCCGAGGUGCUGCAUGGUUGUCGUCAGCUCGUGCCGUGAGGUGUCGGCUUAAGUGCCAUAACGAGCGCAACCCCCGCGUGCAGUUGCUAACAGAUAACGCUGAGGACUCUGCACGGACUGCCGGCGCAAGCCGCGAGGAAGGCGGGGAUGACGUCAAAUCAGCACGGCCCUUACGUCCGGGGCGACACACGUGUUACAAUGGGUGGUACAGCGGGAAGCCAGGCGGCGACGCCGAGCGGAACCCGAAAUCCACUCUCAGUUCGGAUCGGAGUCUGCAACCCGACUCCGUGAAGCUGGAUUCGCUAGUAAUCGCGCAUCAGCCAUGGCGCGGU
This 1346-nucleotide ribosomal RNA is filed under the name uncultured bacterium. RNAcentral's name for it is "partial 16S ribosomal RNA". It matches the Rfam family "Bacterial small subunit ribosomal RNA", at positions 28 to 1363 of the family's 1533-position model. The record is from RNAcentral.